Molecule: ribosomal RNA, 460 nt
Filed under: uncultured bacterium
Lineage: Bacteria
Description: partial 16S ribosomal RNA
Rfam family: Bacterial small subunit ribosomal RNA
Source: RNAcentral
CCUACGGGUGGCAGCAGUGAGGAAUAUUGGUCAAUGGGCUGACGCCUGAACCAGCCAAGUCGCGUGAGGGAAGACGGCCCUAUGGGUUGUAAACCUCUUUUGUCAGGGAGCAACGCAGGCUACGUGUAGCCGGACUGAGAGUACCUGAAGAAAAAGCAGCGGCAAACUCAGUGCCAGCAGCCGCGGUAAUACGGAGGAUGCGAGCUUAAUCCGGUUUGAUUGGGUGUAAAGGGUGCGUAGGCGGAAUGCCAAGUCAGCGGUAAAAUCGCGGGGCUCAACCUCGCUCCGCCGUUGAAACUGGCGUUCUUGAGUGGUCGAGAAGUAUGCGGAAUGCGUGGUGUAGCGGUGAAAUUCAUAGAUAUCACGCAGAACUCCGAUUGCGAAGGCAGCAUACCGGCGCCCUACUGACGCUGAAGCACGAAAGCGUGGGUAUCGAACAGGAUUAGAUACCCCGGUAGUC